CUCAUUAUGUGGUAAUGGGCAGCUACUCUCAGUGUCUCUGCCUGAACAGACAGGCAGCAUUCAGCCUAUGAGGGUGGAGAAGCCAACUAACUGCAAGGAGGAAACUUGGAUCUGUGAUCAUGUGUCCGUAGAGGAAGCAUCUCAGAUCACACCCAGGCCCCGUUUGAGUGUCUGUGUUCGGAUGUCAGCUUUUCCUCUCCAGCUGAAUUUUCCAAGCUCUCUCUCAGAUCAUCUGUCCUCACUGAUGUGCACUGAAGAACAAGCCACCCUCGGACACUGCCGGGUCGUCUCACACUCCUGACGGCUUGCUUCCCAGCAUGAGGCUGCUGUUCCUUCUCUUUCUCCUCCUCAUAUGUCUCACCCAGACAGCAUCAGGGUACAGAAUAAAGGCGAAAUCCCUUCAAUGUGCACAGAUGGGCGGUGCCUGCAAACCACAGAAGACCCACGGCUGCUCCAUCCUGCCUGCGGAAUGCAAGAGUCGGUACAAACACUGCUGUCGGCUGUAGCUCCCGCCCGAGAGUCCUCAGGGUAGCACGAGAGAAUCGCUGUCUCUGACUUCUGCUUAAUAAAGGUGCCAUGCCCCACGUGGA
Long non-coding RNA from Microcebus murinus (gray mouse lemur), 590 nucleotides. RefSeq lists it as uncharacterized. NCBI's taxonomy places the organism in Eukaryota, Metazoa, Chordata, Mammalia, Primates, Cheirogaleidae. The record is from RefSeq and is a predicted model, not a curated record.